This 458-nucleotide ribosomal RNA is filed under the name uncultured bacterium. Its description in RNAcentral is "bacterial SSU rRNA". It matches the Rfam family "Bacterial small subunit ribosomal RNA", at positions 29 to 506 of the family's 1533-position model. The record is from RNAcentral.
GUGAACGCUGGCGGCGUGCCUAACACAUGCAAGUCGAACGAUGAUGGAGAGCUUGCUCUCCUGAUUAGUGGCGCACGGGUGAGUAUACCAUAGAUAAUGUACCUCUUAGUUUGGGAUAGCCACUGGAAACGGUGAUUAAUACCAGAUACUCCUUCUCGUUAUAAGACGAGUCGGGAAAGAUUUAUCGCUAAAGGAUGGGGCUUUAUUGUAUCAGCUAGUUGGUGGGGUAAUGGCCUACCAAGGCAAUGACGCAUACCUGGUCUGAGAGGAUGAUCAGGCACACUGGAACUGAGACACGGUCCAGACUCCUACGGGAGGCAGCAGUGGGGAAUAUUGCACAAUGGAGGAAACUCUGAUGCAGCAACGCCGCGUGGAGGAUGACGCAUUUCGGUGUGUAAACUCCUUUUAUAGGGGAAGAUAAUGACGGUACCCUAUGAAUAAGCACCGGCUAACUCCGU